CACUGAAAAGAAAUGCAUGAAGUUACUUGAAGGCUUUCUGCAAUCCAACCCCAAAUUUAUUCAUCAGGUCCUUCACUGUCAAAGAGUAAGUUUUGGUUCUGAGACUCAGGGAUUCUGUGCAACUCUUAGAUUAACUUGAAUUUUUAAAAUGAGGUACAUACAAAGAAUCACUUUUCAGUGAGCCAAAAAUAUGGGAAGUUAAUGCCCAGUUACAUUUGGACUUUUUUUAAUAGCUCCCAGUCUUCAAAGGUUUUUGCUUUAAACCCUCAAAGUCAGUUAAAGAAAGGCUUUAAGUCCUGGUCCCGGUUAAGCUACUGGAGGAACAUGUUUUUCUGAGAAGGGCCUUGUGCUGCACUUGAUGCCACUCUUGAGGAAAGUACAACUAAUUUUAGCCAUAUUGUUCUAGCAGUGCCUGGGAAAGGUCACAGAGAAAUUAAUGAUAAACGCCCUUAUUUCCCCUUAUAAUCAAUAAAACAAGCCAAUAUAAAAGAAGUGUAAAACUAUUUUACCUUAGAAAAGGUGGUUUUAUAAUGCCAUUCAUGUCAGGUUUCUGUAAAAAAAAUAUAUAUAUUCACAUGAAUUUGUAGAAAUUUGCUACAGGUGAUCUUGCUGUCCUGCUAAGGGAAAGAGACCCUGUAAUUAAUCUGUAUGGCCAGUUUGGUUUUAAUACUUCAAAUUUCAGUGCUGAACCAAAGCCUGUCAGGCUUUCCAUUCCAGGCAUGCUGUAUUUCAGGACCUCAUUCAGCAGGUUCUUAACUCAUUCUUGGCUUGUGAUUCCAAUGAAAUUGCUCAAGUAUAUCAGCUGUAAAUAGACUUAGACCUUAGAAUUAGGUCUAAUUAACCCUUAAAAUUAAGAAAAAUGAACAAAUGCCUGAAUUAAAUUGUACUGAGCACCAACCCUCCUCAAAGCUAUGUCAACUCCUUUAGUCUUUUUUCUAUAGUGGAUACUGUUGUGCAUGUUACUGUCUUGUGUAGCACAGCAGGAACAGUUUAACUGUCAAUGACCAUUCCUCAUCUCUCCUUCUUGAAAUCCUGAGCUAUUUUUUCUGUGUAUUCUGAAACAAAAAUAAGAUGCCUUGAAUCAUUUCCUGCUUCUGCAUAGGAGGCCCCGUGAACAGCCUGUUUUACACAUCUGUAAAUCCUGUGUGAAUGUACAAGCCAGCCCAGUAUAAUGUUGGGCUUAUUUCCAAAGCCUAUGGAGAUGUGGGGCUUGGGGACUUGCACGGAAGCAGGAAAGACAAGGAAGUUCUGCAAGAAUGAAAAUAAAGAGUGACUUUGGAACAAAACACUUGGUUGCAAGUGCAGCAGCUCUCCUCUACAGUUGUCCUAAGAAGGGGUCACAGCAGCUGCUGUGAGUUAGGAGGUGCCUCAACAAAAGUGGUCAUUGUUCUAUACUCCAGAAGUUCUAAUUUAUUUUAGCCUUGCUUUCCCUGUGGAAAUUUAGAUUAUCAAAAAAGAUGUAUUUGUUUUCCACUCCUAGGAGCUAUCAGUUUCCAUUCUGGCUUCCAAAGAGAUUGUAUAGUUCUAAUUAAAGCUCUGCCAACUGACUGAUCUGCCAUUCCUCUUGAGUUUCUGGUUCAAGAGGAAUGUUAGUCCACAAGCCUUAAAUUUAUUCCUAAAUCCUUUGACCUAAUGCCACAAACCAAAACAGCUCUUAAGGUGACUGUUCCUGAGAAUGGAGUGCCCCCAGCAGAACACUGCAGGGAUCCUGAGACCAUUUCACCGAUUUCCAUAAUUCUUUUAAGCUCUUUAGUCAGUCACCUGGUCCCAGGGCACAGAACUCUCCCUGCUGGACUGGCACCUCCCAAGAGCUUUGGACAUAAUCACCCUUGAAGGCCACGCUGAUCCUGCAGGCUUCAACAGCAAGACACAGGCUAAGGGAGCCUCCAUAAAUUCUGACAUUUCACCAUUACCAAGGCUUCUUCAUUCAAAAAUGAAAGCCACAAAUACGUCAAAAUACACAUGUUGGUCUUCAGAAUAAUUUUGAUACUUGUUUUAAAAGUAACUGAACACUGAGAUUUAGGUCAUAUUUCUUGAUAAUCAUUUUAUGCAGCAGAAAAGCUUCAUUCCUCACAGAAAACACUGUCCCAGAAACAUCACUACACAAACUACACACUUCCUACACCACAAUGUUCAUUACUGAGAAAUAAACUCACUUACUUGAAUGUGGAUUCAAAUAUAUAUGCUAAUAUUAAACUGUUCUGGCUCCUAAAAAAGUGCAAAUCUUUUCUGUAGGAAUAUUUAGAUGGAAAAAAAUAAAAAGGGGUAUUCCAAAACAUGACUCAUAGUGAAAUGGAGUAAGAUCUCUAACUGAGAGGAUCUUCACAAAUCUCCAGCAACAACUUCCAUACUUUCACACUUUUUAUGUUUGUAAUGUGACGUAACCUGUUCUUUUAAGAAUUAGACACAAGUCUGUGAUUCAAUUGCGAACGUGAUUGUAAAGGCCACUUCAAUCUCAAUUUCUACUGUAGGAUUCACAACCUUACUUAGAAAGCAAAAACACCUGUCAGCAGGUCAACCUAAAAUUUGUUUGGAUGCUAUACUGAGAGACAAAAUAUUUAGUCAUACCAAUAAAUAAUACCAUUUUUAGCUACUGGCAGCCAAUCAGCUAAUUGUAUUAUUCUUUGAUUCUUGAAGUUUCCCGUGGCACCAACUAAUAGAACUUUGCAUCUUACUUUGGUACAGUGUCUCAUAUUUUAGCAAUGCUAACCUUAUUUUAUUUAAUUUGGUUUUUGGUUUUUUUUUGCCUCCAAAAUGUGAUUUCUGCUUCAAGAGGCUCUUUGGAGAAAGUCUCCAAAACAUCACCCUUACAUUUACCCAGACCUGCAUUUAACACGUCAUCAAAAUACUUACUUAAACAAGCAGCAAGAAAAAAAGCUCAUAAUUGCCUAAUUUGAUUAGUCUUAAUUUUCAAUCAGUUUGAAUGCUGCUUAAAUACCAGAAAUAAUAGCAUUGUAAUACAUUAUCUGUUAAUAAAAAAUGUAUUUUCACUUAGCUUCAGCUUUGCUGAACACAGGCAGGAGUUAGUACAGCCCUCCCCUGGCAAUAGCUGCAAACACAGAUUUUAUGCUGCUGUAAGUCCCCUGUGCCCCACAGCUCUAACAUCACUGGAGGUGAUGGAUUUGUACUGCUUUCUGUGAGAAUUUCUUUUCAUCUUUAACAGAUUCCAUGGCUGAGAAGUUUUGCUCUGCAGGGGCUGCAAGACAGAACCCAACAAAUACCAGUGUCAGAUGCCAGAACCCCCCUCGCACUCUGUUCAGCACUGCAAAGCUCAGAAGGGCACGAGCUGGAAGGGAAUAAUGGGUGCCAUGUCCUGGAGCCAGGGGGACUCUGAGUUAAGGCUGUUCUAAAGCUACUCCUUGGGUCUGUGUGUAACCAUUAAAACACAUCAUUAGCAUAAUUAAGGCAUUGUACUACAGACUAUUAGAGAGUAUUUACUGUACAUGUUACUGAACCUCAAAGAACAUGAGCACAAAAAUAACAUUUUCAAUAAAUCUGGGCAUUUCUGCAUGUGCCACCCAAAAUAUUACCUUGGCACUGGGGCAAAGGCUUUUUCUUCUGCUGAUUCAUCCAGUGGUCUGGUGUAUGAUGAUGGAAACCAUCCUUUUCUGUAAAGGGAAAGGUCUUUUAUAUUAUAUAAAAUUGGAAAGAUCUUUCAAAAUACAACAGUAAAGUCAGCAAACAGAUUUAACUUCUGAAGAAACCAAUUUCUGAUGAUGCCAAGUAUGUGCAGAGAUUUUCCUUAGAGGGAGACCCCAAGUCCCUAGUCAGUGACAGCCAGUAAAUCUGCUAACAUAAUCUGGUGAGACACACUUUUACUUCAUGUUCAAGGUGGGUAAUGAUUAUCUUACAGUCUGGUUGUGUCGUGCUCCCCAUAAAGCCAGCCAUCCUUUUCCUCAGCCACCAGCAGGGUUAUGAUAUCCCCCUGGGCAAAGCUGAGCAAUGUCUUGU
This is a non-coding RNA of Taeniopygia guttata (zebra finch), 3951 nucleotides long. The record is from RefSeq and is a predicted model, not a curated record. NCBI's taxonomy places the organism in Eukaryota, Metazoa, Chordata, Aves, Passeriformes, Estrildidae.